ACAAUGACCCUUAUUAAGUUAGACUUACUAGUCUUAGUAAGUUUUAGACCCUAAUAUAGGAAUUUUCAGGAACCUAUCUUGGUUAACGUCAUGGUGGAGCCAGCGUCAUGUCACAGGAACAGAAGUUUUCCUCUCUACAGUCACCAACGGCUUGUUCAAACGGACAAAAAAAAUCAUUUAAUGAGAAUUUAGAGACCUCAUCUCGCACUGCACCACGCUGUCUGAGAUCCUCCAGCACUGUUCGACUGGUACCUUACCUUCUCUCAUAAUGAGAGGUAAGUAUACUUCAAGGCUCUUCUCUGUUCUGGCACCGAGGUGGUGGAAUA
This is a long non-coding RNA of Silurus meridionalis, 326 nucleotides long. RefSeq lists it as uncharacterized. The transcript is spliced from 3 exons. The record is from RefSeq and is a predicted model, not a curated record. NCBI's taxonomy places the organism in Eukaryota, Metazoa, Chordata, Actinopteri, Siluriformes, Siluridae.